AUUGAACGCUGGCGGCAGGCCUAACACAUGCAAGUCGAACGGUAACAGGAAGAAGCUUGCUUCUUUGCUGACGAGUGGCGGACGGGUGAGUAAUGUCUGGGAAACUGCCUGAUGGAGGGGGAUAACUACUGGAAACGGUAGCUAAUACCGCAUAACGUCGCAAGACCAAAGAGGGGGACCUUCGGGCCUCUUGCCAUCGGAUGUGCCCAGAUGGGAUUAGCUAGUAGGUGGGGUAACGGCUCACCUAGGCGACGAUCCCUAGCUGGUCUGAGAGGAUGACCAGCCACACUGGAACUGAGACACGGUCCAGACUCCUACGGGAGGCAGCAGUGGGGAAUAUUGCACAAUGGGCGCAAGCCUGAUGCAGCCAUGCCGCGUGUAUGAAGAAGGCCUUCGGGUUGUAAAGUACUUUCAGCGGGGAGGAAGGGAGUAAAGUUAAUACCUUUGCUCAUUGACGUUACCCGCAGAAGAAGCACCGGCUAACUCCGUGCCAGCAGCCGCGGUAAUACGGAGGGUGCAAGCGUUAAUCGGAAUUACUGGGCGUAAAGCGCACGCAGGCGGUUUGUUAAGUCAGAUGUGAAAUCCCCGGGCUCAACCUGGGAACUGCAUCUGAUACUGGCAAGCUUGAGUCUCGUAGAGGGGGGUAGAAUUCCAGGUGUAGCGGUGAAAUGCGUAGAGAUCUGGAGGAAUACCGGUGGCGAAGGCGGCCC
Molecule: ribosomal RNA, 710 nt
Filed under: Escherichia sp.
Lineage: Bacteria; Pseudomonadati; Pseudomonadota; Gammaproteobacteria; Enterobacterales; Enterobacteriaceae
Description: bacterial SSU rRNA
Rfam family: Bacterial small subunit ribosomal RNA
Source: RNAcentral